GACGAACGCUGGCGGCGUGCUUAACACAUGCAAGUCGAACGGAAAGGCCCUGCUUUUGUGGGGUGCUCGAGUGGCGAACGGGUGAGUAACACGUGAGUAACCUGCCCUUGACUUUGGGAUAACUUCAGGAAACUGGGGCUAAUACCGGAUAGGAGCUCCUGCUGCAUGGUGGGGGUUGGAAAGUUUCGGCGGUUGGGGAUGGACUCGCGGCUUAUCAGCUUGUUGGUGGGGUAGUGGCUUACCAAGGCUUUGACGGGUAGCCGGCCUGAGAGGGUGACCGGCCACAUUGGGACUGAGAUACGGCCCAGACUCCUACGGGAGGCAGCAGUGGGGAAUAUUGAACAAUGGGCGGAAGCCUGAUGCAGCAACGCCGCGUGCGGGAUGACGGCCUUCGGGUUGUAAACCGCUUUCGCCUGUUACGAAGCGUGAGUGACGGUAAUGGGUAAAGAAGCACCGGCUAACUACGUG
Molecule: ribosomal RNA, 468 nt
Filed under: uncultured bacterium
Lineage: Bacteria
Description: partial 16S ribosomal RNA
Rfam family: Bacterial small subunit ribosomal RNA
Source: RNAcentral